UCGACCACUCUUCGCCACCACCA
Molecule: non-coding RNA, 23 nt
Filed under: Arabidopsis thaliana (thale cress)
Lineage: Eukaryota; Viridiplantae; Streptophyta; Magnoliopsida; Brassicales; Brassicaceae
Source: RNAcentral